CUGCGUGAUCCAUCUCAACUAAGCAGGGCAAAGGAAAUCUGUCUUCUAAUUAGAUAGGAGUGAAGUCUGUCUAUCAUUGAUACUUGUCCACUUAUGCAUCAAUCAUCAUGAUAGGUAUAUGUACUUACUAGUUAUUUACUAAUUUAUAUUUAAUUAUUAUCCUCUGCAAAUGUUGUUUUUUGUGCUAAUCACUCUUACUGACAUGUCGGUAUUUAUCACAUUUCAAAUGCGGUAUGUCAUAUUUGAUUGCAACCCCUCAAUUCUUGACUUAACAGUAAUAUUUUGAUCUGCCAAUUUGUCGUUCUGUUGAGUUACAUCUUGCAUUCAGUUUAGUCAUUUACUUGCAUAUUGAAAGUUUCCUUUUGUUACUUGUUUUUACUUUUGUGACAUUUGAUAGUUUCACCGUAGAAUUUUUAGGCUGACUUUUGUCAGGUUUAAGUUGCGUGAUGUUCCUUGAAUGUGGUCUUGCUCGUACCGGUUCUGCGGUCGCUCAGUUGAGAAUGUAUGUACUCCAUUCACUGCCCAGUGACCUGUGGUUUGUAUUUGAUUUGUGUGUCGUGACGUACAAACCUUACCUUGGGCAAGUUGUGGCAUUGAUGCCCGUCGGUUUGAGGCGUGUUGCUGCUUUUUCUAGCUACAGCUUUGUACAUAGAAGGAUGCUUUGAGAAUCAUUGUUGCAGGUUUGAGUUUAUCUGGUUGCAGUUGUUGAUAUGUUUGUGUUUCAAUGAAUCAGAUUGUGUUUUCGUCUUUCUGUCGUGUCUCCUAUGUUUGUGAGUGGAUCGGUUGCUCUAUCAGCUGGGUUGCUACUUCAGAUUGUUUUUUUUCCCCCUGUAUCGGGGUGUUUGUAUGUAUGGAGCACUUGCAGAUACAGUUUGCGAUGUCUCAUCGCGCUCCCCUGCAUUCGGCUGGCUCCACAACGAUCAAUGCUAGAGUUGACAACCAAGCGCCACAACUCGUGAGCCUACUGCCUUUCAAUUCCUAUCUAUCUCAUCUCUCUAUCUCUAUACUUGGUUGUAAGCUGCUUGACGCUGUGGUGUUUUAAUUUGGUCUUCCCAUUAUUAAAAUUAAUACGGCUCUUAGUUUUCUAGCAUCGCUCGCUGCCGACCUGCCGUGGCAUACUGGCAUGGCAAGGUAGUGGAAGCUACAACGAAAUGUGGACUCCACACCACACGGUACCCUCUGCUAGAUUAGCUCGCUCCCAAGCAAAACGCACGCUCCUGGUACGCGUUUCCAUCUCAGCAGCCUUGCUUGACCAUUCUCUUGGCACUUGAGCAAAGACUCAAAGUCGUCAACCAACCCUUAUUAAAAGUAGUAGCAAUCAGGGCCUCUCUCAUCCGUGGGUGUGGCCAUCUAGAUCUAGGCUCAAAGCAACCCGAACUACCAAAGCAUACUCCCAUACUGCAUACAACAAGAGGGGCCGCACUGGGAGCUGCCACAAGCAAAAGCCAGUACAUCUGAGCUCCAGGAACAUCUGAUUUGCACACCUUGUAUAGGAUGAAAGGAAAGUAAAAUUUGGAGAUGGCACAAGCAGCACAUCCGAGCUCCAGGUACCCAAGGUCCAACACUAGGUCGUACAUCAUCACAACCAAAAGUCUAAACGACGUGGUUUAUUCUUCUGUGCUUCAAGCUGUGGAACGAGAAGGCUGUAAGGGUUUGCUUGCAAUAUCAAAGAAGGCACUUCAGCAACAUAAGCUAAAGAGCUACACUUGUUUCUGAAGGAAAUUUAAGUGAAAAAGACACUUAACAAAACGGGUCUAUAUGGAAGCUGCCGUAGUAUCUGGAAUAUUGAAGGUUGUCGACAGCAAGCUAGCUCCAUUGCUAAUCAAGGAGUACAUCUCGAUAGUUGGUGUCCGAAAGCAUCUCGAGGAGCUAAACGAUCAAAUUCGGGAGAUUAACUGUUGGUUGGAAAGAGUAGGAGAUGAAGUUGCGCGAAAUGAUCCAGCACUUAAUUGGCUUAAAAAGUUGAAAGAUAUAGCUUAUGGUGUUGAUGAUAUUGUUGAUGAGUUUCAGCUGGAGGCCGAGAGGCAUGAUGCCCACGAUGUUGGUGGUGUUGUGUCCAACUACUUGUAUGCAAAACCAAAAUCUCUUAUACUUCAAUGCAAGGCAACCAACAAGCUCAAGGCAGUCAAAAAGAGAUUUGAUGAAAUUGUGAAGCAAAGAACUGAAUUCAGUACAAUAGCAAACAGCUUACUAGCGAGUCAUCCUGCUCGUGAUAUGAAUCAUAAUACUGUGAACAUGAUGUCACUGCCUACUGUAGAUGUUGCAUCAGUGCUCGGAAGAGACCGAGAGAAGAAUCAAAUAAUAUCUAAACUGGUAGAGACUAAUGACCAACAAAGAAUCAAGACUAUUUCCAUCAUCGGGCUUGGUGGCUCUGGAAAAACUACAUUAGCUCAGCUGGUUUUUAAUGAUUGUAGCAUUAUAGAGAAGCAUUUUGAAGUCAGACUAUGGGUUCAUGUGUCACAAGAAUUUGAUGUUGAAAAGCUUGUCAAGAAACUGUUUGAAGCUUUUGCUGAUAACAAUCCCGGACAGCAUGCACUGCCGUAUAUGAGCAAAACAAUCUCAGACAAGUUGAUUGGAAAGAGGUUUCUGCUUGUAUUGGAUGAUGUUUGGACUGAGUCCCAAAUCCUAUGGGAACAAUUCAUAGUAUAUCUGAAGGUUGGCGCAUAUGGGAGCAGAAUUUUACUCACUACCCGCAGUAGAAAAGUUGCAGAAGUAGAAGGAUCAGCAUAUCAAUUUGACUUGCCAUUUUUAUCUCCAAAUGACAGCUGGAAACUAUUUCAAUAAAGUGUAGUAAUGCCUCCCAAAGGUUUGGGGAUUGAAUUUGUAGAUGUUGGAAAAGAUAUUGUGAAAAAAUGUGGUGGGAUUCCACUAGCAAUUAAAGCUUUGGCAGGUGUCCUUCGUGGCAAGGAACUGAUAGGAGAAUGGCAAGCCAUGAGAGACAGCAACUUGUUGCAUUUUGUGGGUGAAGAAAGUGGUGUAUCAGUAUCUGCAUGUUUGAGGUUGAGCUAUUUCCAUUUGCCAUCUCAUCUGAAGCAGUGCUUCACAAUAUGUUCAUUGUUUCCCAAAGGUCACAAGAUUGAUAAAGAGCAACUGAUUGACCUAUGGAUUGCUCAUGACAUGAUUACUAUUGAGCCUGGUGUUGAUUACUUGGACUAUAUUGGCCACAAGUGCUUUAAUUCUCUCAUGAAAAUGUCUUUUCUACAAGACGUGAAUGAAUAUCAUGGGAGGGUGACAUGCGGCAUGCAUGAUUUGGUUCAUGAUCUUGCCCGGUCCAUAUUGGAUGAUGAGAUUUCUCUUGAUGUGCCAAAGGAUCCAACCUUUUUACCAAGAGCUACAGAUACUUUUCUUUAACUGAACAGGAACAAAAUCUACCGCCCAAAAAUCUUUUUAAAAAAGCACGUUCUGUAUGUGUUGAUUAUUGUGAUGACACAAUAUUUGGGGCAUUGGAGAACGCAAGACACUUGCGCAGUAUCACCAUGGGAACUAUUUAUACGCAAGCAAUACCCAUUGCCAUAUUGCAGGUAAAAAAUCUGAAAUAUCUUGUGAUUUCAAGACUGCAAUGCAAAGCACUCCCAGAAGCUAUUUCAGAUAUUUGGAGCUUACAAGCUCUUCAUGUUACAUAUAGUGAUCUUCUCGAGUUGCCUAAAUCCAUCAGUAAGCUACAGAAGCUAAGGAAGCUGAACCUAUACCGCUGUGGGGAACUAAAGUGUUUACCAGAUUCUAUUGGUGAUUGUCAAAAUAUUUCAAGCAUUGAUCUUUGCUAUUGCGAGAAGCUCAAAGUGUUGCCGGAAUCUAUAGGCAGAAUUGAAAAUCUAAGAGUUUUGAAACUAGCUAACACCAAAAUUGAGAAGAUGCCAUCAAGUAUCACAACACUGAGAAAUCUUGUGUGUCUUGUCCUUCAUCGAUGUUGGGAGCUAGUAGAGCUGCCUGAAGGCAUCAUCAACUUGGAGAAGCUUCAAGUUUUGGAGCUUGGAGAUUGUAUAAGAUUGCGACACGUGCCUGUUGGUAUAGGGAAGCUUAUUCGAAUACAGAAGUUGAAUUUUUUUGUUGGGGGUGACAGUGAAAAGUUUGCAGUAAUUUAUGAGCUUAGUAGGAAUAGUGAGGAUGUAGCGAUAACAGGUAUUGGGCAUAGGAUGAUGCACCUGGACGAUGCACGCAAGGCAUGUUUGAAACAGAAGGCUAACUUACAAAGGUUGAAGCUACACUGGAGAGUGUGUGUCAGGGGUGAAGAGAACACUAAAUUGGAGCAGGCUGUACUUGAUGGUUUGGAACCGCCACCAGGGAUUAAAGAGCUGGACAUUGUGGGGGUAUUCAGGCAGGGAGUGUGCCCGGUGGAUGCAGAAUCAUGUUGGUGGUGGAGUACAAGGGCUUCCUUACUUGCCAUUUUUUGAGGGUGAUGAAGCUAGAUGAUUUCCCAAAAUUGAAACAUCUGGAUGGGCUUGCGGUGCUGCCUUGUUUGGAGGAGCUUGAGCCGUGGAGGAUGCCUUCUCUCGAGAGCAUAAGUGGAGGCCCAUUUCGUUCGCUGGUGAAGUUAGUUAUGGUGCGACUGCCUUGUCUGGGAGAGGUGUGGAUGGUAGUCGAGAAGAGCAUGCCUGAUGGAGAAGAGGGACGUGGCUGCAGCAAUUGCACACCUCACUUGGGACAAGUCCUCCGAGUUGGUGCUUUUGUAUCGAAUCUGGAUAUAUCUCUUUGUCCUAAGUUGGAGGUCAAGCCGUACCUACCUUUGUCGCUGCAGCACUUGGAAUUGUACCGGAGCAAUGAAAAGCUGCUGCAGUUGCCAUGCGAGUGCAGCGGGUCUGCCUCUUCGUUCUUCGGUUUUAGCCAUCUGAAGAAGCUUAUGCUACAGGGGAUUACAAGGCAUGUCAACUUUAGUGAGCUAAGCGAAGUUUCCGGAACGACGAAUCGAGGAACGAGGAACGGGAAACGAGGAACGGCAUUUGGGAUGGAUUUUUACCAUGGGAGAACGAAAAUGUUCCCCGUUCCUGUCCCCAGAACGGCGGUGACUUUGGAGCUAAUCCAGCUACCAGACUGCUUUCAAGGUCUCAAAUCCCUUCAGUUUCUAGAAGUGAGUGACUGCUCUGCUAUUCGCAUGCGGCACGAAUCGCUAGGGGAACUCCAGUCCCUGCAAGAGUUGACCAUCCGGAACUGCAAUAGCCUGACCACCCUUCCCCAAUCAAUGGGUCACCUCACAUCCCUCCGGUCUUUGAUUUUGGACUCAUGCUCUGCCAUUUCGUUGCUGCUCGAAUCGCUAGGGGAACUCCACUCUCUACAAGAAUUGACCGUCCAAAGCUGCCGUAGCCUGAGUAGCCUUCCACAAUCAGUGGUUCGUCUCACAUCCCUCCAGGUGCUCCGUAUAAGUUGCUGCGAUGCAUUUCACGAAUUGCCUGAACGACUGGGAGAGCUCCGCUCUCUGCGCAGAUUCCACAUUGGAGGGUCGCGGGGGCUGGCUUGCCUUCCCGAAUCCAUGUGCGGCCUCACCUCCCUUGAAGACCUCUCGAUCUGGGAGUGCCAAGCAUCAAAUCUUUGCCGGAGGGGAUAAAGGGCCUCACCUCUCUGCGAUAUUUGAGUAUAUGGGGCUGCCCUGAUCUCAAGAGGCGGUGCGAGAGUGGAACAGGGGAGGACUGGCACCUCGUCUCUCACAUCCCUAAUUUGGUAGGCGACUGGCGAAUGCCUCCUAGUGCUUCAUCAGGUUCAUGCGCACCUGAUGUUACUAUCAACUUAUGACGGUACAGUUUGCUCAGGGCAUGUGGAGACGUGUUCAGUCUUUACUUAUGGGUAUCCAAAGUCAAAUCGAGCUUGUUAACGCUGAGGAUUCUGAAUUGAGGUGUUUACAAUGCAUUCGUAAGGGGCACAUGAUCUAAGUGCUGCCAACGCAAUGGCUGUUGGGCUAGCAUAUCAACCGGUUGCCAGUAAGCAGACCACAUUGCGAGGUAGACCAGGCCCAUUUCUGUUUGGCACAAUUCAUCAUUCUUUUUAGAGCUAAUGGGAGCUGCUUCUUUGUACUGCAACCACCACGAACUCUGUUUUGCCAUGAAGCAACUGCGCAUCAGUUACGGCUCACUGCUUUCGUCUUGCUUGUGCUCGACGCCUGAAGCGGCCUGCUGCAAAUUUACCCUGUUGGCUGAUGCCACCAAGUAAUCUGCUCAACUGUCCUUUAUUAUCAAUGGAUGCAUGGACCAUUCAAAUAUGCUGUAUGUCUGAUUGUGUGUAGCGCACAACAACUCUGCUUUGUUAGAUGAUAUUCAACAUAUUUGUUGGAGCAAGCAGUGCUUUGUAUUAUUUCAUAUGCGUAUGAAGUUCCAGAUUUCAGGACAAAAAAAAUGCUAUGUUGGGCUUUUUAGUUGA
RNA transcript from Panicum virgatum (switchgrass), 6345 nucleotides. It is a transcript of the gene named disease resistance protein RGA2-like, with no coding region annotated. The record is from RefSeq and is a predicted model, not a curated record. The transcript has 6 exons. NCBI's taxonomy places the organism in Eukaryota, Viridiplantae, Streptophyta, Magnoliopsida, Poales, Poaceae.